Molecule: ribosomal RNA, 411 nt
Filed under: uncultured Russula
Lineage: Eukaryota; Fungi; Basidiomycota; Agaricomycetes; Russulales; Russulaceae
Description: eukaryotic LSU rRNA
Rfam family: 5.8S ribosomal RNA (bases 105-258)
Source: RNAcentral
UGUGCAUCANCGCGUGGGUCCCCUUUGCGGGAGGGCUUGCGUUUUCACAGAAAACUCGAUACAGUGUAGAAUGUGUUUCUUUUGCGGUCACACGCAAUCAAUACAACUUUCAACAACGGAUCUCUUGGCUCUCGCAUCGAUGAAGAACGCAGCGAAAUGCGAUACGUAAUGUGAAUUGCAGAAUUCAGUGAAUCAUCGAAUCUUUGAACGCACCUUGCGCCCCUUGGCAUUCCGAGGGGCACACCCGUUUGAGUGUCGUGAAAUCUUCAAAAUCCUUUUUUCUUUGAACCAUCGUGGUCGGGAAAAGGGGGUUUUGGACUUGGAGGUUUAAUGCNUGCCCUUUCUUUCGAAAGUGAGCUCCUCUCAAAUGAAUUANUGGGGUCCGCUUUGCUGAUCCUUGACGUGAUAAAA